Non-coding RNA from Centropristis striata (black sea bass), 375 nucleotides. NCBI's taxonomy places the organism in Eukaryota, Metazoa, Chordata, Actinopteri, Perciformes, Serranidae. The record is from the annotation of a RefSeq genome assembly.
AUGACUUUGAUCUGCGUCCUCAUCUGGACUCUCCUCUGCUGCUGUUUCACAGAGUCCAGAGGACAGUACACUCUGACUCAGCCUGGAGCAGUGAGGUCUGCUCCGGGAGGCUCCGUCUCCAUCAGCUGUAGGACCAGUCAGGAUGUUUAUGGUAGGAGCCAUUUAGCCUGGUACCAACAGAGAGAUGGAGAAACUCCUAAACUGCUCAUUUACCUUGCUAGCACUCUUCAGUCAGGGAUUCCAGGUCGUUUUACAGGCAGUGGAUCAAACUCUGACUUCACUCUGACCAUCAGUGGAGUUCAGACUGAAGAUGCAGCAGUUUACUACUGUCAGAGUCUUCACUAUCCCAACAGUCAGUGGGUGAACACACAGUGA